GCUCACUUUGGCAGCACAUAUACUGAAGCAACACAGAGAAUAUUAGUGUGGCCCUUGCGCAAGGAUGACCUGCAAAUUCGUGAAUCAUUCCAUAUUUUU
RNAcentral lists this small nuclear RNA (99 nucleotides) under Lynx canadensis (Canada lynx). Lineage: Eukaryota; Metazoa; Chordata; Mammalia; Carnivora; Felidae. The record is from RNAcentral.